CAGCCGCCGCGGUAGUACGUAGGUGGCAAGCGUUGUCCGGAAUUAUUGGGCGUAAAGGGCUCGCAGGCGGUUUCUUAAGUCUGAUGUGAAAGCCCCCGGCUCAACCGGGGAGGGUCAUUGGAAACUGGGAAACUUGAGUGCAGAAGAGGAGAGUGGAAUUCCACGUGUAGCGGUGAAAUGCGUAGAGAUGUGGAGGAACACCAGUGGCGAAGGCGACUCUCUGGUCUGUAACUGACGCUGAGGAGCGAAAGCGUGGGGAGCGAACAGGAUUAGAGACCCCUGUAGUCCCUGUCUCUUAUAC
RNAcentral lists this ribosomal RNA (301 nucleotides) under uncultured bacterium. Its description in RNAcentral is "partial 16S ribosomal RNA". It matches the Rfam family "Bacterial small subunit ribosomal RNA", at positions 509 to 807 of the family's 1533-position model. The record is from RNAcentral.